This is a non-coding RNA of Salvelinus sp. IW2-2015, 1256 nucleotides long. NCBI's taxonomy places the organism in Eukaryota, Metazoa, Chordata, Actinopteri, Salmoniformes, Salmonidae. The record is from RefSeq and is a predicted model, not a curated record.
AAUCCUGGUCAAGCCAAAGUAGCCCAGGAGAACGGAGCAGCGGUUGUGGGAGGAGCCGACCUUGUGCAGAGAAUCUUGGAUUAUGAAGUGGAGCUUCUACGUAGUGGUACUAGAUAUCAUCUCCAAACUACUGCCUCUGAAGAACGAACUACGCAAAGAAGUUCCCCAAGAACAAGAGAGGGUCGGUUGAGUCGACAUUCCCAAGAUGCUGGAGUUGUUCCAGACCUGCCAUGAGUAUAUAGUGGGAGAGGAACGCUGUCAUCACCAGCGUAGGAACGGUAAGUAUGAAGGAAUACUGUCAUCACCAGCGUAGGAACGGUAAGUAUGAAGGAAUACUGUCAUCACUAGAGUAGGAACGGUAAGUAUGAAGGAACGCUGUCAUCACUAGGGUAGGAACGGUAAGUAUGAAGGAACGCUGUCAUCACUAGGGUAGGAACGGUAAGUAUGAAAGAACGCUGUCAUCACUAGGGUAGGAACGGUAAGUAUGAAGGAACGCUGUCAUCACUAGGGUAGGAACGGUAAGUAUGAAGGAACGCUGUCAUCACUAGGGUAGGAACGGGUAAGUAUGAAGGAACGCUGUCAUCACUGAGUAGGAACGGUAAGUAUGAAGGCUUUACAGAACGACCUACGUAUAAUCACCACAACGUUAAAGCAUACUUGUAAUCCUCACAAAUGUCUGUCAGAUUAUCCAAGGUUAAGAGAAUGAUAGUGAAGACAUCAGAACUAUGAACUAAGGUGGUUGAGAGAAUGCCAAGAGUGCAAAGCUGUCAUCAAGGCAAACGGUGGCUAUUUGAAGAAUCUCAAAUAUUAUCCAAGUACCGUCGAGCGCAUCAUUGUUAGUAACAUGACAUGUACCUAUACUAGAGUUACUACGGUGUAAUUUAUGAAUGAAUUAAUAGUAGCAAUAGAACAUAGUUGUAGGAGCCAUUUUGGCCUGUUUAUGAGUUGUGGAAAUGUUCUUUGUCAAGGGUUAUUUUUACUUGUUUUGUACACUGAGGGCACUAUAUGUUGGGGUCAUGGGUCUGUGUGUGUGUGUGGGUGUGUGUGUGUGUGUGUGUGGUGGUAGCACAGGUGACUAGGAAGGGUCAGCACAGGUGACUAGGAAGGGUCAGCACAGGUGAGAGGAGAGGACAUACAGUUGUUACCGUAUCACAGAUACAGCUUAUAGAAAGCAUCUCUCUGCACCUUUUUUCUAUAGGAAUAUGUGUUUGAGCUAUUUAUAUUUUAUAUGUGCAAUAAAUGGGGUCUUCCACUCA